Molecule: ribosomal RNA, 405 nt
Filed under: uncultured bacterium
Lineage: Bacteria
Description: bacterial SSU rRNA
Rfam family: Bacterial small subunit ribosomal RNA
Source: RNAcentral
UAGGGAAUAUUGCACAAUGGGCGCAAGCCUGAUGCAGCAACGCCGCGUGCGCGAUGAAGGCCUUCGGGUUGUAAAGCGCUUUUCGGAGGGAUGAAUCAAGACAGUACCUCCAGAACAAGGAUCGGCUAACUACGUGCCAGCAGCCGCGGUAAAACGUAGGAUCCAAGCGUUAUCCGGAAUUACUGGGCGUAAAGGGCGUGUAGGCGGCUUGGCAAGUCGGUCAUGAAAGCUCCCGGCUCAACUGGGAGAGGUUGUCCGAUACUGCCAGGCUAGAGGGCAAGAGAGGGAGGUGGAAUUCCCGGUGUAGUGGUGAAAUGCGUAGAUAUCGGGAGGAACACCAGUGGCGAAGGCGGCCUCCUGGCUUGCGCCUGACGCUGAGACGCGAAAGCGUGGGGAGCGAACGGG